AGUUCGGAUUGGAGGCUGAAACUCGCCUCCAUGAAGUUGGAUUCGCUAGUAAUCGCGCAUCAGCCAUGGCGCGGUGAAUACGUUCCCGGGCCUUGUACACACCGCCCGUCAAGCCAUGGGAGUUGGGGGUGCCUGAAGUACGUGACCGCAAGGAGCGUCCUAGGGCAAAACCGAUGACUGGGGCUAAGUCGUAACAAGGUACC
This 203-nucleotide ribosomal RNA is filed under the name uncultured bacterium. Its description in RNAcentral is "partial 16S ribosomal RNA". It matches the Rfam family "Bacterial small subunit ribosomal RNA", at positions 1290 to 1500 of the family's 1533-position model. The record is from RNAcentral.